UGGGGAAUAUUGGACAAUGGGGGCAACCCCUGAUCCAGCCAUGCCGCGUGAGUGAUGAAGGCCUUCGGGUUGUAAAGCUCUUUUGGCGGGGACGAUGAUGACGGUACCCGCAGAAUAAGCCCCGGCUAACUUCGUGCCAGCAGCCGCGGUAAGACGAAGGGGGCUAGCGUUGUUCGGAAUUACUGGGCGUAAAGCGAGUGUAGGCGGUUGCCGUAGUCAGGUGUGAAAGCCUUGAGCUCAACUCAAGAAAUGCACUUGAUACUGGGUGACUAGAGGACCGGAGAGGAUAGUGGAAUUCCCCAGUGUAGUGGUGAAAUACGUAGAGAUUGGGAAGAACACCAGUGGCGAAGGCGGCUAUCUGGACGGUUACUGACGCUAAGACUCGAAAGCGUGGGGAGCAAACAGGAUUAGAUACCCUGGUAGUCCACGCCGUAAACGAUGGGUGCUAGACGUUGGCGAGCUUGCUCGUCAGUGUCGCAGCUAACGCGUUAAGCAUCCCGCCUGGGGAGUACGGCCGCAAGGGUUGAAACUCAAAUGAAUUGCGGGGUCAUAGCUGUUUCCU
RNAcentral lists this ribosomal RNA (562 nucleotides) under uncultured bacterium. RNAcentral describes it as "partial 16S ribosomal RNA". It matches the Rfam family "Bacterial small subunit ribosomal RNA", at positions 355 to 1376 of the family's 1533-position model. The record is from RNAcentral.